AGACAUGGGAGUUGUUGGUGUAGUGAGAUCGCCCUAGUUUGGAAACCGCUGACAUUUAAAGGUGUCUUGGCGAUGGUGUUCAGAAACUACUUCUAAUCCAACCAAGAUGGGGUCUGAGCCGGAGAUGAGUGGUGCGACGGAUGGAGAGGUUUGGCCACCUAUUGCCAGUUGAUUAACAAAUAAGAUGGAACUUGAGUCGGUUCUGGGAUGAUGGCUUGGCCACUUCAGUCAUUGGCCCAGUGUUUGGAGCCAGUCUGUAGGCUCCUUGGAGACGGAGAACCCUGCAACCAGGUUCAGCAGAUGCUGGAAGGUGGACGUUCGGGGCGUUCACGUUAACCAUAACGUCACACGUGGCCUCAAUCCCGUGGCCAUGGCAGAUGUUUCUAAAAUGUCUGCCAUGGGCUUUCACUAAGGUGUCGGAUGGUGCUGACGCUGUUCCAUUAACACAGGAGCUAGACUUCUCCAGUGUCGAUCUGCCACACUGGCGUCCUCAAACCCAGAUCUGGACCAACAUGGUUACUCGUGAUUCCAGUGGCAUGUUACUAUUUGCGGAAGUUCAGGUCCCUGCAGCUGGAGGAAGAGUCAUCUCCAAAAUGGCUGACCCUUGGUCUGUGGAUUUGAUGUAAUACUGCUCUGCAAAUGAAGUGAUUCUGAAUAAAGCGGUUGUGUGAUAAUGCCUCAAAGAUUGGUACGCAUUUAUUCUGUCUGGUCCAAUAAUGUUAAAUCUUCAGUACUGCUUGUAAGCAGGUCCGUUUUAAAAUAUUUCAAGUGUUUAAUUCGAAAGCGGGCUUCCAGUAUGGGAUAUGCAUAUUAUUGGUUUAAUUUGGUGUUCCAACCUGUUAGGACUACGCUUUGCAACAGGUAGCAAGAGAUGUUAAGCUCAUUGGUAAAUUCUGGACCAUGCAGCUGGGGGAUAAAUAACUAGAUAUUUGUUUCUAUAAAUCUGUACACCUUUACAAAAUACUAUCUUUUAUGUAGAUGGAAAGAGUCAAGUUAGAAGUGAUAAUUGGAGCAAGAAGAUUACCGAUAUCUAGGAAACUCAAUACUUGGAAAUGUCAAAUGAACUGCAAUGAGUGCUGUAAAACGUUGAGCAAAAAUUGAGGUCCCCAUUUUAGCAUACAUUUAUUAAAAGCAACCAUUUCUGGUCUAAACAAGUCUCCACUCUGGGUUAAACAGUUGGCGGCAGCAAAGGCCACUUAAACAAACAUCACCAGUUAUCCCAACAAGACACGGCAACUUAAACGCGGCCAUCAAAGCCGACCGGGACCAAUCACGCAGACUGAGUUCGCCUCCACCUCAGUCGGCCGUGAAGACCCGGGCGGCGAUGUCGUCCAGGAGCCAGUCCACGCCGGACAGCAGGUUUUCCCCGGUGACGGCGCUGCAGCCCAUGAUGCACCAGUGGUGAGUCUUGAUGUCGUCCAGGCCCAUCGCCUGCACGGGAAGCACCAACACCUCAGUGACCUCACAGAUGGGGCGGCUACGUUAAGGCCGUGUUUAAAUUCUUAUGUCGAGGUUUCUUAAUUCUUUCUAUCCAAUCAUGGCGAUUAGCCAUACACAAAUGGAAACUAAUGAAUGUAAUUUUGUUUCAUGUGUUUUGGCAACUGAAAGUCAUUACGUGCGGCUCUGGGGCAGCUUUAGGGCUCUUUCUUGCCGUAGAAAAUGAAAAUCAAUAUAAGAAUGAGUUGCAAGGCAAACAUGACUUGAUCAAGGUGCUGCGGGAUCCCUGCUUCCUCCUGUGCACGUGUCUCACCUCUCCGAUCGCCUCUUUAGACAGAGCGCCCGGCAGGUCCUGUUUGUUGGCAAACACCAGCAGAGUGGCUCCGGCUAACCUCUGCAGGGACACGACCCAAAGUGCGGUUGGUAGUCAUUCGGAUUGGACAGUGACUUGUGUUAAAAAGUUGU
Molecule: long non-coding RNA, 1902 nt
Organism: Gadus chalcogrammus (walleye pollock)
Lineage: Eukaryota; Metazoa; Chordata; Actinopteri; Gadiformes; Gadidae
Exons: 7
Source: RefSeq, a predicted model, not a curated record